This is a non-coding RNA of Streptomyces sp. Tu 6176, 72 nucleotides long. NCBI's taxonomy places the organism in Bacteria, Bacillati, Actinomycetota, Actinomycetes, Kitasatosporales, Streptomycetaceae. The record is from Rfam.
GCGCGAUUAGCUCAGCGGGAGAGCGCUUCCCUGACACGGAAGAGGUCACUGGUUCAAUCCCAGUAUCGCGCA